Long non-coding RNA from Callithrix jacchus (white-tufted-ear marmoset), 2802 nucleotides. The record is from Ensembl. NCBI's taxonomy places the organism in Eukaryota, Metazoa, Chordata, Mammalia, Primates, Cebidae.
AUGAUGAUGUGCCCACCCCAGAUAAAGAUUUUCAGUAUUUAUUUGUUUGGGUUCUGCUUAUAUGUACCCCUCUUCAUCACCAAAGAUUUGAGGCUACUGAAAAUGAAAACUGAAAUGGCAAUAAAAGAGAGGGGGUUGCAGAGAGGACACAGGACGGGGAAAAUAGAAAUAAUCGCAGAAAAUUAUGACCUGAUGAAGAGCACAAUCACAGAAGCGGUGAGAGAUGGCAAAGUUGCCAGAGGGCUGCUUGCGUGUCCUUACAAUAUGGUGACUCUACCUUCCCUCAGAAAGAGUGAUCCAAGAGAAAUCAAGGACAUGCCCCUGCCUCCUGGGAGACAGGGAGUGCUAUGAUAACCGAAGGAGGGCACAGUGUCCCCUUGCAGGAGCCGCUUUUGAUCCUGCCAGGACAAUCAAUCCUUCAAGAGCAGCAAGGCCCUGUAGGUACAGGAAGAGAGUGACCCUCAGAUCCCUUCCCUUUGCCCUAAUCGGGGCCACAUAGUAUACCAGAGACCUCAGGGGUAGUGACCCCAGAUGUUCUCAGAGGACUUCUAACCUUUGAACUUGGGGAUGGACAUAGGGGUAUGGCUAGCACUGCAGCCUGGCCCACAUGGCUGAGCCACCACACCCAGCCUAAAAUGGUAUCUUUUCUCCUUCUCCUCCUUCGUCUUCAAUUUCUUCUUGAAACAGCAUCUCACUCUGUCAUCCAGGCUGGAAUGACAUGGGUGCUGGUCAGCACACCUAUGGGGCACUAACCCAGGCCCACAGAGGAGUCCUUUACUUCCAAGUCACCUGAGGAUCCAGUGGUGACCAGGGAGACUCUGACCUGAAACUGUGCUGGCUCUGGGGGACUGUUGGAUAAGCCAAUGUGGGCCAGGCAGGAGUUCAAACACACUUCCCUGGUGCCCACAGGGACUCCCAGCACACGCUCUCCUAUGGGUGUCAAUGAUUCAGUCUUUCUUGGUGGCAUAGGAUAUAGCCUGGAGAAGCUCUGGGGAAUAUUUCUUUUCUUACUUAUUUCUGGUUUUAAAAGUAAUACUCAGGAUGACUAUUGUUAAAAACAAAAUAAAAAGAAACCAGAAAAUAACAGAAAACAACAAGCGUUGGAGAGGCUGUGAAGAAACUGGAAGCCUGGGCGUCACCAGUGGGAAGGUGAAAUGCUGCCGUUACUAUAAACAACAGUUUGGUGUUUCCUCCAAAACGUAAAUAUAGAAUUACCAUGUGACCUGGCAAUUCCACUUCUGGAUAUAUGCUCAGAAAAACUGAAAGCAAGGACUGGAACAGAUAUGUGUACACCCACGUUCAUAGCAGCAGUUUUCACAAUUGCUUAAUGGAUAGAGUUUUCUGUUUGGGAUGAUGAAAAAAUUUUCAGAAAUAGUGGUGGUGGUGUUUGCACAACAUUGUAAAUGUGAUUAAUGCCCCACCUAUAAAUAGUUUAAAUGGUAAAUUUUAUGUCAUAAAAGUAAUACUAAAAUUGUCUUUCUUUCUUUCUGUCUCUCUUUCUUUUCUUUUUUUCUUUCUGGCAGGGUCUUCCUCUGUUGCCCAGGCUGGAGUGCACUGGCAUGAUCUAAACUGGACCCAGCCUCAACCUCCUGGGUUCAAGCAAUCCUCCCCCCUCAGCCUCUCGAGUAGCUUGGUCCACAGGUGUGCACCACCACACUUGGCUAAUUUUUGCAUUUUUUGUAGAGACAUGGGUUCGCCAUGUUGCCCAGGCUGGUCUCAAACUCCUAAGCUCAAGCAAUCCACCUGUCUCAGCCUCCCAAAGUGCUGGAAUUACAGGCGUGAGCCACCACACCCAGCCUAAAAGGGUAUCUUUUCUCCUUCUCCUCCUUCUUCUUCAACUUCUUCUUGAAACAGCAUCUCACUCUGUCACCCAGGCUGGAAUGCAGUGGUGUGAUGUCGGCUCACUGAAGUCUCUGCCUCCCCAGUUCAAGUGAUUCUCCUGCCUCAGCCUCCCAAGUAGCUGAGAUUACAGGCACACGCCACCACCCUUAGCUAAUUUUUGUAUUUUUAGUAGAGACAGGGUUUCAGGCCAGGCACAGUGGCUCACGCCUAUAAUCCUAGCACUGUGGGAGGCCGAGGUGGGUGGAUCACCAAAGGUCAGGAGUUCAAGACCAGCCUGGCCAUCAUGGUGAAACCCCAUCUUAAAAAAAAAAAAAAAAAAAAAAAAGAAAGAAAGAAAAAAAAAAGAGACGGGGUUUCACUAUGUUGGCCAGGCUGGUCUCAAACUCCCCACCUCAAGCGAUUCCCCUACUUGGCCACCCAAAGUGCUGGGAUUACAGGUAGGAGCCACCGUGCCUGGCCUAAAAUGGUCUUACAUCCCAACACUACAUAAAUGUAUAAAUUAGAGAGCAAAAGCCAACCCUCCUGGGAUAAGCUUGUUGCCUAGCCUUCCAGAUUUCUCACUUCCAUAUAAACCAGAUGUUAGGAUUCAAGUAUUAGUACGAGUGGGUAGAAGCCACCUGUCCUUUGCAUAGGGGGCAUCCCCCUUCUCCAUGGGGUUCUUGACACCACAGCAUAGUAGAGAAAGAUUCCAUAGUUGAAUGUUCCCUGCUCAAAUCCCAUUCUGGCUGGGUGCAGUGGCUCACGCCUGUAAUCCCAGCACUUUGGGAGGCCGAGGCAGGUGGAUCACAAGGUCAGGAGUUCAAGACUAGCCUGGCCAAUGUGGAGAAACCCUGUCUCUACUAAAAGUACAAAAAUUAGCCAGGCAAGUUGGCAGGCACCUGUAAUCCCAGCUACUUGUGAGGCGAAGCCGGGAGAAUUGCUUGAACCCAGGAGGUGGAGGUUGCAGUGAGUUGAGAUUGU